GCCCUACGGGGCGCAGCAGGCGCGAAAACUUUACAAUGCGGGAAACCGUGAUAAGGGGACACCGAGUGCCAGCAUCAUAUGUUGGCUGUCCAGAUGUGUAAAAUACAUCUGUUAGCAAGGGCCGGGCAAGACCGGUGCCAGCCGCCGCGGUAACACCGGCGGCUCGAGUGGUGAUCGUGAUUAUUGGGUCUAAAGGGUCCGUAGCCGGUUUGGUCAGUCCACCGGGAAAUCUGACGGCUCAACCGUUAGGCUUU
This 254-nucleotide ribosomal RNA is filed under the name uncultured archaeon. RNAcentral's name for it is "partial 16S ribosomal RNA". It matches the Rfam family "Archaeal small subunit ribosomal RNA", at positions 320 to 574 of the family's 1478-position model. The record is from RNAcentral.